UGAGGAAUAUUGGUCAAUGGACGGAAGUCUGAACCAGCCAAGUAGCGUGCAGGAUGACGGCCCUAUGGGUUGUAAACUGCUUUUGUAUGGGGAUAAAGUUAGGGACGUGUCCCUAUUUGCAGGUACCAUACGAAUAAGGACCGGCUAAUUCCGUGCCAGCAGCCGCGGUAAUACGGUAGGUUCGGGCGUUAUCCGGAUUUAUUGGGUUUAAAGGGAGCGUAGGCCGUUUGGUAAGCGUGUUGUGAAAUGUAGGAGCUCAACUUCUAGAUUGCAGCGCGAACUGUCAGUCUUGAGUGCGCACAACGUAGGCGGAAUUCAUGGUGUAGCGGUGAAAUGCUUAGAUAUCAUGAAGAGCUCCGAUUGCGAAGGCAGCUUACGCGGGCGCAACUGACGCUGAAGCUCGAAGGUGCGGGUAUCGAACAGG
This 424-nucleotide ribosomal RNA is filed under the name Verrucomicrobiota bacterium. Its description in RNAcentral is "Verrucomicrobia bacterium partial 16S ribosomal RNA". It matches the Rfam family "Bacterial small subunit ribosomal RNA", at positions 355 to 776 of the family's 1533-position model. Lineage: Bacteria; Pseudomonadati; Verrucomicrobiota. The record is from RNAcentral.